Non-coding RNA from Ictidomys tridecemlineatus (thirteen-lined ground squirrel), 2253 nucleotides. The record is from RefSeq and is a predicted model, not a curated record. NCBI's taxonomy places the organism in Eukaryota, Metazoa, Chordata, Mammalia, Rodentia, Sciuridae.
AGGUGAGACUCAGCGGCGGCGGGACUGGGAGGAUGGCCUGAGCUGGGCUUUGCCUAAAAAAGGAAGCGCACAGCUGAGCCCCAGGAGCUGGCGGCAGGAACAAGCCUCAAGGAAGCAGCGCUCUCCUCCAGCCUGACAUCAGAAGGAGAGGGACACUGGAGGCCCAGCCUCCACUGAGUCCUGUCUGCCCAGCCUCUACCCAGUCACUGCUGCUGCCCCACCCCCUGGGGACCCUCCCCAUCAGCCCUACUCCCCUACUCAAUCCAAGCACAAGCCUUAUUCCUGUGCCCUGCCCUGCCCCCCAGUGCGCUCCCUACCUCCAGAGGAAAGCUGUGGACAGAUGGGAUCCCAGAGGGUGAGGGAGUUAGCCUGAGUUGUGGUGGUCAGAGCCAGGCCUGGGCUUUAGACCGACACCAGAGGAAGCACAAAUAGAAUGAUCCAGAAGCCUCUUCUCUGAAGGGAGCAGGGCCCAGUUGGUAAAGAGGGCAGAGACAUAGACAAAGGCAAGGACUGGCCAGGCCAAACAGCAGGGCCCAUCCUCCAGCCCUCCGCCUGAGCAGGUGCAGUCUCUGCCUGGGCCUGGCAUCCCGGGGACCCAGAGGAGGAUGCAGCAGGUGAGGCUGAGAGCACCUUGCCCCACAACUUGGCCCAGGCACAGGGAGUUGCUGUGUCUCACUUCCCAGAGCUGGCCCAGCUGCUUAUCUGCACGCAGAUGGGGGGUUUCCCUGAACUGAGGGAUACUGCUCCCAGUAGGGCAUUGCCCCUGCCCCCACUGAGGUCCCGGAGAAAGCUCCCUCCUCCACACAAUCCAGGCUUCUGCAGAGAAGAAGGGCCUUUUGUCCCCAGCUCACUGUAGUCAUGUUCAACCCCAGAGAAAAGGGCAUCUCCUGGGGCCUCUGACCCCACCCCUGACCCCAGCUGAGGGCAGAGUGGCCUGGGCCCCCACCCCAUUGCUGAGCUGCUGUUUGUCAGUUGUUUGUAUCUACAUGCAAACCCACGCUCACAUCCACGGAGGGGGGGGACACAAAAACAGGAAGUGGCAGGAGCAGCUGCAUGGGCCCUGGCCAGGGGAGUGGGGUGAGGCUGGGUCCGGUGACCCUGCCUCAUCCAGGCAAGCAGCGGGGUAGGGGAAGGGGCAGCCAAGAGCAGCAGGGCCCUACAGCUCCUUCCCACUGCCCCCCCUUCCUCUAGACUUGAUGUGUCCUCCUAGGGUUAGGAUCAUGCCAGGCAGGGCCCAAGACCAGUCCUGGGAGCUGGAGGUGCCUGUCUCACCCCCAGAGCCCCGAGCUGACACCUCUCCCAGUCCCUGCCGUGAAGGUAGCAGGGAAGAGGCAUGGGAGGGUGAGUGCCAGGCAGUGUCCAUCAAACCAGCUUCUGCCCGGGGACCCCAGCUACCAGGCAGAGCCCUCCUCCCAGUACCACCAGACUCGGUGUGAACAGGCGAUGCUGGGCCAGCAGGGACAGGACAGCUUGUUUUCCCUGUAGAGGAUGGGGCCCUGUGGCAGCAGAGGGUCAGCAGGGACCUGAGGCAGAGCUGCACAAAGGUCUUCCUUCAAGGCAGAGGGGGACAGUUAGUGCCAGGGCCUGGGUGGGGGUGGGCAUGCCUGCCAGUCCGGGGACCUGGGCUGGCGGACAGCAAGGGCAGGGCCAGUGUAGGGCCUUCAGGCAGCAGGGAGGUGAUGGGACUCCAAGUGCGUGGAGAAGACAGUGCCAAGGAAGGGCAGAGGGCUGAUCCCAGGCCCCGAGGGAGAUACUGGGUAAGCCGCCAUCAGAAGUCGGGCAGGGACUCGGUGAGAGUCUGGAUUCGGGUGUCCAGAAUGUGCCACCAAACAAUAACGUGCCUUUCUGAGGUGGGCCACCCCAGCUUUGGUCCUCUUGGCUGGCCUGCUCUUCUGUAGGUGAUUGCCAGGUCCUGCUCCAUCCUCAGGUAGGGCCCAGGCAGGUUCACGGAGCACCCAGGGGCUCAGAUGGAGGAGGACGCAGGAAGGGGCAGGCCUGGAUCAACACCUUGAGGGCAGCCUCCCUAGUGUCAGGGCCCAGGAGCAGGGGCCUCACUCUGCCUCCUCCUUCCUAGCCCACCCUCUCCGGCUCAGGCACUGCCAGCAUGGUGCCCAGCCCACGUGCCUCGGUGGGGCAUGCCUCUCAGGAGCUCAGGGGCUGGAGGAACAGUUGGCUAAGCAUGGGCCCUCCUUGCCCCUGAAGCAGGGUGUGCCUGCAAAUAUUUUGUGAAUAAAAUAAACAAACUUAUGGGGU